AGAGUUUGAUCAUGGCUCAGAACGAACGCUGGCGGCAGGCUUAACACAUGCAAGUCGAACGCAUCCUUCGGGAUGAGUGGCAGACGGGUGAGUAACGCGUGGGAACGUGCCCUUCAGUUCGGAAUAACCCAGGGAAACUUGGGCUAAUACCGGAUACGUGCGAGAGCAGAAAGAUUUAUCGCUGAAGGAUCGGCCCGCGUCUGAUUAGCUAGUUGGUGGGGUAAUGGCCCACCAAGGCGACGAUCAGUAGCUGGUCUGAGAGGAUGAUCAGCCACAUUGGGACUGAGACACGGCCCAAACUCCUACGGGAGGCAGCAGUGGGGAAUAUUGGACAAUGGGCGCAAGCCUGAUCCAGCCAUGCCGCGUGAGUGAUGAAGGCCUUAGGGUUGUAAAGCUCUUUCAGUGGGGACGAUAAUGACGGUACCCGCAGAAGAAGCCCCGGCUAACUUCGUGCCAGCAGCCGCGGUAAUACGAAGGGGGCUAGCGUUGUUCGGAAUCACUGGGCGUAAAGGGCGCGUAGGCGGCUUUGUAAGUCGGGGGUGAAAGCCUGUGGCUCAACCACAGAAUUGCCUUCGAUACUGCAUGGCUUGAGACCGGAAGAGGUUAGUGGAACUGCGAGUGUAGAGGUGAAAUUCGUAGAUAUUCGCAAGAACACCAGUGGCGAAGGCGGCUGACUGGUCCGGUUCUGACGCUGAGGCGCGAAAGCGUGGGGAGCAAACAGGAUUAGAUACCCUAGUAGUCC
Molecule: ribosomal RNA, 742 nt
Filed under: uncultured bacterium
Lineage: Bacteria
Description: bacterial SSU rRNA
Rfam family: Bacterial small subunit ribosomal RNA
Source: RNAcentral